CAGUAGCCGCGGUAAUACGUAGGUGGCAAGCGUUGUCCGGAAUUAUUGGGCGUAAAGGGCUCGCAGGCGGUUUCUUAAGUCUGAUGUGAAAGCCCCCGGCUCAACCGGGGAGGGUCAUUGGAAACUGGAAACUUGAGUGCAGAAGAGGAGAGUGGAAUUCCACGUGUAGCGGUGAAAUGCGUAGAGAUGUGGAGGAUCACCAGUGGCGAAGGCGACUCUCUGGUCUGUAACUGACGCUGAGGAGCGAAAGCGUGGGGAGCGAACAGGAUUAGAUACCCCAAUAGUCCCUGUCUCUUAUACA
RNAcentral lists this ribosomal RNA (301 nucleotides) under uncultured bacterium. RNAcentral's name for it is "partial 16S ribosomal RNA". It matches the Rfam family "Bacterial small subunit ribosomal RNA", at positions 509 to 808 of the family's 1533-position model. The record is from RNAcentral.